RNAcentral lists this long non-coding RNA (490 nucleotides) under Mytilus galloprovincialis (Mediterranean mussel). Lineage: Eukaryota; Metazoa; Mollusca; Bivalvia; Mytilida; Mytilidae. The record is from RNAcentral.
AAUUUCGGUUAAAUAAUGCCACAGGAAAUACAAAUUUGUUAAAAUAAUGUCAAAGAACAUACAAAACUUGUUUUUAGCCAAAAAAAAAAAUAUCAACUCUUUUAUAUAUAAAUGCCAAAGAACAUACACAUUUCUAUAAUAUAUCAUGUAUUCAAAGUAUAUGGUUUAAAAUCAAUAUACCACUUUUAUAAAACAUGUACAACAAAUUAUAGUGGGAUGAAGGUAAGAUGAAAUUGAAAAUUAGUAUCCCACUAAUUUUUAAUGGAUGUUCAAUGUGAAAAAUUUAAUAAACCUUUUACCAAUGGUUCCACUAAAAUAAUAUAAUAUCUAAAACUUCUAGAUAACAGCAAAUAAAAUUAAAAAAAAUAUCUAAAAUUAAAUAAUCUAAAUAGGAGCAAUUCAUCAAAUAUUGCUUUAUAACGUUCUGAUCUGAUAUGUGGCUUUUUGUUUUCAUAAAAAAAAAUCAGCUGUCUUGCUAUGCUUGGACAUG